This 138-nucleotide ribosomal RNA is filed under the name uncultured eukaryote. Its description in RNAcentral is "partial 18S ribosomal RNA". It matches the Rfam family "Eukaryotic small subunit ribosomal RNA", at positions 1299 to 1458 of the family's 1831-position model. The record is from RNAcentral.
UGGUGGAGCGAUCUGUCUGGUUAAUUCCGAUAACGAACGAGACUCUGGCCUAUUAAAUAGUUCGCCGAUUCCGAUCUGUCGGCGUUAACUUCUUAGAGGGACAAGUGGCUUUUAGCCACGCGAGAUUGAGCAAUAACA